GACGAACGCUGGCGGCGUGCCUAAUACAUGCAAGUUGAGCGCUGAAGGUUGGUACUUGUACCAACUGGAUGAGCAGCGAACGGGUGAGUAACGCGUGGGGAAUCUGCCUUUGAGCGGGGGACAACAUUUGGAAACGAAUGCUAAUACCGCAUAAAAACUUUAAACACAAGUUUUAAGUUUGAAAGAUGCAAUUGCAUCACUCAAAGAUGAUCCCGCGUUGUAUUAGCUAGUUGGUGAGGUAAAGGCUCACCAAGGCGAUGAUACAUAGCCGACCUGAGAGGGUGAUCGGCCACAGUGGGACUGAGACACGGCCCAAACUCCUACGGGAGGCAGCAGUAGGGAAUCUUCGGCAAUGGACGAAAGUCUGACCGAGCAACGCCGCGUGAGUGAAGAAGGUUUUCGGAUCGUAAAACUCUUUUGGUAGAGAAGAACGUUGGUGAGAGUGGAAAGCUCAUCAAGUGACGGUAACUACCCAGAAAGGGACGGCUAACUACGUG
Molecule: ribosomal RNA, 497 nt
Filed under: uncultured bacterium
Lineage: Bacteria
Description: partial 16S ribosomal RNA
Rfam family: Bacterial small subunit ribosomal RNA
Source: RNAcentral